Molecule: transfer RNA, 72 nt
Filed under: Amphiamblys sp. WSBS2006
Lineage: Eukaryota; Fungi; Microsporidia; Amphiacanthidae
Rfam family: tRNA
About the family: Transfer RNA (tRNA) molecules are approximately 80 nucleotides in length. Their secondary structure includes four short double-helical elements and three loops (D, anti-codon, and T loops). Further hydrogen bonds mediate the characteristic L-shaped molecular structure. tRNAs have two regions of fundamental functional importance: the anti-codon, which is responsible for specific mRNA codon recognition, and the 3' end, to which the tRNAs corresponding amino acid is attached (by aminoacyl-tRNA synthetases). tRNAs cope with the degeneracy of the genetic code in two manners: having more than one tRNA (with a specific anti-codon) for a particular amino acid; and 'wobble' base-pairing, i.e. permitting non-standard base-pairing at the 3rd anti-codon position.
Source: Rfam by way of RNAcentral
GCUCUGGUAGUAUAAUGGCAAGUAUUUCCGCCUGUCACGUGGGAGAUCGGGGUUCGAUUCCCCGCCAGAGCG